Non-coding RNA from Elephantulus edwardii (Cape elephant shrew), 423 nucleotides. NCBI's taxonomy places the organism in Eukaryota, Metazoa, Chordata, Mammalia, Macroscelidea, Macroscelididae. The record is from the annotation of a RefSeq genome assembly.
AUGGGCCGUGGGACCCUCUGCUGGAUGGUCAUCUGCUUCCUGGGGACAAGCUCCACGGACACUGGAGUUUUCCAGAUGCCAAGGUCCCUGGUCACUGGCGUGGGGAACAGGAAGAUACUGAAGUGUGAACAGCGUCUGGGACACGAAGUCAUGUACUGGUAUAAACAGGCCCCCGGGAAGGCUCCGGAGCUCAUGUUUUAUUUCAACAACCAGGAGCUUAUUGGGAAUGAGUCUAUCCCAAGCCGCUUCUCCCCGAAGUGCCCGGACAGCUCUCACCUGGAGCUCCACGUGGACGCCCUGCAGCCCGGGGACUCGGCUGUGUACCUGUGUGCCAGCAGCAAAGACACAGCCCUGCAGGGCCACCCGAGCCCUGAGCAGAAACCACAGAGCAGGAAGCUGGGGACUGGCUCCCCUGGGGCCUAG